CAUAGUCAGUCACAGAGUCCACGUAUAGUCGAUUGUUCAUCGCUCGUCGAGUUAGUUCGUCUUUAUAUUCAUUGCUAAUGUUGUAUUGAAGUUUGCUAAAGGCACGUCGAAAUCUAAUGUUAUAAUUUUGCACGUUUUCGGUUAAUCCUUGCCUUAUUUCUCUUAAUUGAUCUUGGUGUUCUCUUACUGAUGCUUUAAUAGCCUCCGGACAAACAAUAAAGACUAAGUAAAGUGUCAAAGAAUAAUUUAUUCAACCGUCUUCUAUUCACGUCCGGUAAAGCACUACGCGCGAUUCUAACUAGCAUCGUAAACUGGUGCCCCUAUAGAAACUAUGAGUGUUUCAAUACUCAAUCUUAUCCAGUAUCACAUCUGUAAGGUGCUUCACGGUAAGAUCUCUUCAACUCUUGAUCUAAUCAAGGUGAUCAAAAUAAAAUUCUAGUCAUAAAGCAGGAUGUGCCGAAGACGGCAAUAAACACGCAGUUCGGAUUAUUUAAAUUCCUAUGCAUGAUCGUUGGUCUUAAAGAUGCGUUUAAAUGGCCUUGUUCGACCGUCCUCGUGAUCGCAAGGAAGCGCGCUCAGUCAGUUCAUAUGAGAUUUUAUAUAAUCUGUAAUAAUUUGUACGUAUGUAACUGGGUUGGAAUUGUUCAUAAGGAAAGCCGUUGUUGUUGAGGGAAUGUUAGGUGUCGACCACGUGUUAAUUAUCCAAGUGCAUCCGAUGUGUUCAUAUGGCUGUACAUGGUGGUGAAAUACAGAACAUAAAAAUUGAAUCUGUGUGAAUCAAUUAAAUAUCAAACUCCAAAACCUGUUUAAUAACAAUUGUUAAAACAAAAUUUCUUUUAUAAAAUACUAUUGUAAAGCACGA
Bombus huntii is the source of this 862-nucleotide long non-coding RNA. RefSeq lists it as uncharacterized. The transcript has 2 exons. The record is from RefSeq and is a predicted model, not a curated record. NCBI's taxonomy places the organism in Eukaryota, Metazoa, Arthropoda, Insecta, Hymenoptera, Apidae.